AACAAAGGAUAAAAUGGUCUGAAUGUAGGAAAAUUUUGACCUAGUUUUCCCUGGAAAUUGUUGAAGAAAACUAAGUGUGAAACCAAGCUGUCUUUGGCUUCUAUUUUCCGGUCAAAACUCCAUAUUCACUUUGAUGGUGACAUUAAUGUUGUCUUCAUCUUUUUAACAAUUCUUCAUGAUACAUGUAAUAAAAUUUAUUAAAGUAAAUUCAAUUUAGUUAGUAAUUUUUGAAUGGGUUUCAGAU
This 244-nucleotide long non-coding RNA is filed under the name Gossypium raimondii (Peruvian cotton). Its description in RNAcentral is "long non-coding RNA (GRAI_LNC000182)". The record is from RNAcentral. Lineage: Eukaryota; Viridiplantae; Streptophyta; Magnoliopsida; Malvales; Malvaceae.